This 27-nucleotide non-coding RNA is filed under the name Mus musculus (house mouse). Lineage: Eukaryota; Metazoa; Chordata; Mammalia; Rodentia; Muridae. The record is from RNAcentral.
GAAUAAGCACUGAAGAAUCUAAUGGAU